CUAUGAAUGGGAGACUUUGCAAGGCCGUUACCAGUAUUCUAUGAAACAAUUAAAUCCACUUCUGAGGAGAAGAAUGAAAGCCAAGGCAGAUAUGAAAGAGCCAUGGACUGCUGACCUUUGAACCCUGAGAGGAGUGCAGAGCUCACUCAUAUUCUAAUGAAGUAUUUUUCUACCCUUAUUAUGAUUCUGACUCACUAUACUUCUUAUCAAAAUUACAUGAUGAGGAAUUGUAUGUUUGAAUAGCAGUCAAAUGAGAAGAGACUUUAUCAUUUAGCAAAUCUAUCUGCCCAAUUUCGUAGCUUGAGACAAUGCAAAAAUGUCAACCCAUGAUCUCUAUCCCAUUUUCUUUUGAUUAUCUCUACAGCUUGUAAAAAUCUCUGUACUUUUUUUCCAGUUUAAUUCUAUCUAGGUUAUAUUAUACAUUGAUUUAGUUG
Molecule: long non-coding RNA, 434 nt
Filed under: Homo sapiens (human)
Lineage: Eukaryota; Metazoa; Chordata; Mammalia; Primates; Hominidae
Description: HSALNT0361783
Source: RNAcentral